Molecule: long non-coding RNA, 616 nt
Organism: Enhydra lutris kenyoni (northern sea otter)
Lineage: Eukaryota; Metazoa; Chordata; Mammalia; Carnivora; Mustelidae
Exons: 4
Source: RefSeq, a predicted model, not a curated record
GACACACAUUUGUGGAGGAGCGGCGUGGAGACCUCGGUGGAGUUUUGCGUUCUAAACGCGUCCUGGAACUCAUGGAAGCCCUCUGCCCCAGGUGUGAGCAGUUAUGAGGGCGAAGGUCGUUGCCGAGGCCAAGGCCUGUGAAUUGAGAUUGUCGUCUCUGGGUUCUGAAAGGCUGUCCAGGCACUGACUACAUUUUCCAAUGUCCACCAUAGCCAAGGCAGCUUCCUGUCCGCGCACCAACGCUUUCAGGACCGUAGGAAGCAUUGCGCACGAGUGCCCGCGGAACAUUCUUGUAGCGACCGCAGGGUCAGCUCUGCUUUCUCAGGACUCUACUUCACCAGGAGAGGAGUCUAGAAGACUGAUUGAUUCUUGGAAUUUUAAGUCAUCAUGGCCCAUGUGAUGAUGUUCAGGGAUGUGGCCGUAGACUUCUCUCAGGAGGAGUGGGAGUGUCUGGACUUGGAACAGAGACAUUUGUACAGAGAUGUGAUGUUGGAGAACUACAGUAACAUGAUCUCACUGGGACUUUGCAUUUAUCAGCCGGAUGUGUUCUCUUUACUGGAGGAGGGGAAAGAGCCCUGGAUGGUUUCUCAGGAUGAGACAGGAGGACCUUGCCCAG